CAUCAGCGUCACUAUCUAACGAUUCCUCCGUUCGCUCGUCGGGGGGCACACCCAGAUUUCCCGAGUUACAUACAUAAGAAGCUCCUCAUCA
This 91-nucleotide small nucleolar RNA is filed under the name Trypanosoma cruzi. RNAcentral describes it as "C/D small nucleolar RNA (snoRNA)". The record is from RNAcentral. Lineage: Eukaryota; Euglenozoa; Kinetoplastea; Trypanosomatida; Trypanosomatidae.